CUAGUACUCCCUUCGUCUCAAAAUUUUGUCUUAAAUUUGUCUAGAUACGGAUGUAUCUGACACUAAAACGUAACUAGAUACAUCCGUAUUUAGACAAACUUAAGACAAGAAUUUUGGGACGGAGAAAGUAAAAG
Triticum aestivum (bread wheat) is the source of this 134-nucleotide non-coding RNA. Lineage: Eukaryota; Viridiplantae; Streptophyta; Magnoliopsida; Poales; Poaceae. The record is from Rfam.